UACGUAGGGCGCAAGCGUUGUCCGGAAUUAUUGGGCGUAAAGAGCUUGUAGGCGGUUUGUCGCGUCUGCCGUGAAAUUUCGAGGCUCAACCUCGAACUUGCGGUGGGUACGGGCAGACUAGAGUGUGGUAGGGGAGACUGGAAUUCCUGGUGUAGCGGUGAAAUGCGCAGAUAUCAGGAAGAACACCAAUGGCGAAGGCAGCUCUCUGGGACGGUACUGACGCUGAGGAGCGAAAGCGUGGGGAGCGAACAGG
This 253-nucleotide ribosomal RNA is filed under the name uncultured bacterium. RNAcentral's name for it is "partial 16S ribosomal RNA". It matches the Rfam family "Bacterial small subunit ribosomal RNA", at positions 524 to 776 of the family's 1533-position model. The record is from RNAcentral.